Molecule: ribosomal RNA, 346 nt
Filed under: uncultured bacterium
Lineage: Bacteria
Description: partial 16S ribosomal RNA
Rfam family: Bacterial small subunit ribosomal RNA
Source: RNAcentral
CCUACGGGGGGCUGCAGUGAGGAAUAUUGGUCAAUGGGCGGAAGCCUGAACCAGCCAAGUAGCGUGCGGGAUGAAGGCCCUACGGGUCGUAAACCGCUGUUGCACGGGGAUAACACGCUCCACUUGUGGAGGUCUGCAGGUACCGUGCGAAUAAGGGCCGGACAAUGCCGUGCCAGCAGCCGCGGUAAGACGGAAGGCCCGAGCGUUAUCCGGAUUCCUGGGGCUUACAGGGAGCGUAGGCGGGCGUUCAAGUCAGCUGUAAAAUCGCGCGGCUCCACCGCGCCCCGCAGUUGAAACUGGUCGCCUUGAGUUCACCACAGGCAGGCGGCAUUCGUGGUGUAGCGGU